GUGAGUAAUGUCUGGGAAACUGCCUGAUGGAGGGGGAUAACUACUGGAAACGGUAGCUAAUACCGCAUAACGUCGCAAGACCAAAGAGGGGGACCUUCGGGCCUCUUGCCAUCAGAUGUGCCCAGAUGGGAUUAGCUAGUAGGUGGGGUAAUGGCUCACCUAGGCGACGAUCCCUAGCUGGUCUGAGAGGAUGACCAGCCACACUGGAACUGAGACACGGUCCAGACUCCUACGGGAGGCAGCAGUGGGGAAUAUUGCACAAUGGGCGCAAGCCUGAUGCAGCCAUGCCGCGUGUGUGAAGAAGGCCUUCGGGUUGUAAAGCACUUUCAGCGAGGAGGAAGGUGGUGAACUUAAUACGUUCAUCAAUUGACGUUACUCGCAGAAGAAGCACCGGCUAACUCCGUGCCAGCAGCCGCGGUAAUACGGAGGGUGCAAGCGUUAAUCGGAAUUACUGGGCGUAAAGCGCACGCAGGCGGUUUGUUAAGUCAGAUGUGAAAUCCCCGGG
Molecule: ribosomal RNA, 505 nt
Filed under: Serratia marcescens
Lineage: Bacteria; Pseudomonadati; Pseudomonadota; Gammaproteobacteria; Enterobacterales; Yersiniaceae
Description: bacterial SSU rRNA
Rfam family: Bacterial small subunit ribosomal RNA
Source: RNAcentral